RNAcentral lists this ribosomal RNA (22 nucleotides) under Bjerkandera adusta. RNAcentral's name for it is "partial 25S ribosomal RNA". The record is from RNAcentral. RNAcentral also lists the same sequence under 1 other name. Lineage: Eukaryota; Fungi; Basidiomycota; Agaricomycetes; Polyporales; Phanerochaetaceae.
UGAGCUCAAAUCAGGUAGGACU